AAGGGGCCGCUGCCUUAACAUGCAGUCGAACGGCAGCACGGGGGCAACCCUGGUGGCGAGUGGCGAACGGGUGAGUAAUACAUCGGAACGUGCCCAAUAGUGGGGGAUAGCUCGGCGAAAGCCGGAUUAAUACCGCAUAAGACCUGAGGGUGAAAGCGGGGGAUCGAAAGACCUCGCGCUAAUGGAGCGGCCGAUGUCAGAUUAGGUAGUUGGUGGGGUAAAGGCCUACCAAGCCGACGAUCUGUAGCUGGUCUGAGAGGACGACCAGCCACACUGGGACUGAGACACGGCCCAGACUCCUACGGGAGGCAGCAGUGGGGAAUUUUGGACAAUGGGCGAAAGCCUGAUCCAGCCAUGCCGCGUGCGGGAAGAAGGCCUUCGGGUUGUAAACCGCUUUUGUCAGGGAAGAAAUAUUCCGGGUUAAUACCCCGGGAGGAUGACGGUACCUGAAGAAUAAGCACCGGCUAACUACGUGCCAGCAGCCGCGGUAAUACGUAGGGUGCGAGCGUUAAUCGGAAUUACUGGGCGUAAAGCGUGCGCAGGUGGUCAUGUAAGACAGAUGUGAAAUCCCCGGGCUCAACCUGGGAAUUGCAUUUGUGACUGCAUGGCUAGAGUGUGGCAGAGGGGGAUGGAAUUCCGCGUGUAGCAGU
This 650-nucleotide ribosomal RNA is filed under the name uncultured bacterium. RNAcentral's name for it is "bacterial SSU rRNA". It matches the Rfam family "Bacterial small subunit ribosomal RNA", at positions 37 to 682 of the family's 1533-position model. The record is from RNAcentral.